UGCAAAUGAUGUUUUCUCACGAUGGUCUUCCAAGUCUCGAAGAGACUCUGACGACACUGCCUUACGGCAUCACUGAUGCAGCAAA
Molecule: small nucleolar RNA, 85 nt
Organism: Ctenopharyngodon idella (grass carp)
Lineage: Eukaryota; Metazoa; Chordata; Actinopteri; Cypriniformes; Xenocyprididae
Product: small nucleolar RNA SNORD35
Exons: 1
Source: RefSeq, a predicted model, not a curated record